AUGAAACUGGUCAAAACCUGCUUGCGCAAUUGCCUCAAUGAUGAUAGUUUGAGUGAUGAUCUUAUUUGUUAUGUGGAGAAAGAAGAAAUGAAAAAGGUCACCAAUGCUCAAGUGGUUGAGUAUUUCAUGGCUCGGAGGAACAGAACGUACUAA
Molecule: ribosomal RNA, 153 nt
Filed under: Triticum aestivum (bread wheat)
Lineage: Eukaryota; Viridiplantae; Streptophyta; Magnoliopsida; Poales; Poaceae
Description: partial small subunit ribosomal RNA
Source: RNAcentral